Triticum dicoccoides is the source of this 353-nucleotide long non-coding RNA. RefSeq lists it as uncharacterized. NCBI's taxonomy places the organism in Eukaryota, Viridiplantae, Streptophyta, Magnoliopsida, Poales, Poaceae. The transcript is spliced from 3 exons. The record is from RefSeq and is a predicted model, not a curated record.
CCUGCUUCUUGUGCCUGCUAGAUCCUCCACGGGCUGGUCGGGCUAGUGAUGUCGCUGGUGUCGGCCACGCUGCCGCAGAUCCGAUCGCGCCUCUUCGUCACCUAGGGCAUCCUCUGGAGCUUCCCUGAGACCAGGACACACAUCCUGGUGAGCUCCUUGGUAAUCAGCUGGUCCAUCACCGAGGUCACGAAGUUGAAGUCCAUAUAGAUCACCACAAACCGAGCAAACAUGCCACAAGUAAAUAGUGUUGGAGGCUCUAGCAACAGCAUUGUUAGAGAAUUUUGCCGAGAGGUGGGAUAAUGAUUUUGCAGGUACCCCGAGUGGCCCUUGGGUUAGCCGGAAUGCCGAUUAAC